This is a non-coding RNA of Salmo salar (Atlantic salmon), 2874 nucleotides long. Lineage: Eukaryota; Metazoa; Chordata; Actinopteri; Salmoniformes; Salmonidae. The record is from RefSeq and is a predicted model, not a curated record.
AAUAAUGUUGUUCACGACACACGCGUUGUUAUCGUGGCCAUAUCAGAGAGCAUUGUCCUACAAAAUGCUAAAGCUGAAUUAAACAUCUUUAUACAGGACAAAUUAUACCGUGUUUAUCCUUUGAAUCCACACAGAAGACGGUUAUUUGUUUAUUUUUUAAGGUUGAACGAAAAAAAAGGUCGUGCGACGAUUGUAUACUAAGAUAGCUAGGUUACGAAACAAAAUAUAUGCAUGAAGUUACUUAACAUGGACAACAUGUCUAGUCUUAACAGUCGCAAUAUUUUCGAGAAAGAAACAUCGAUUAUAGCUUUUAUCAUUGAGACGGCAGUAGCAGAAAUUAGCCAACUGUUUUUAGACAACGAAUCAAUCGUGGCGCCAAUACCAAGUAACGUUAACCAGGGGGAAAAAGAAACAGCACCAUUAUGCAUCUGUUGACUAAGGAGGCUGUUCGUACAAUCUGCAGACUAUUCCUAGAGGUCUCUGUGGCUUUACAAAAUGAAAAUGAGAAACUGAAGAUCAAGGUGGAGCAGAUGGAUAAAGAUCUAAAGGCGAUGGGUGAGGGGCGAGAAGAACCGAAAAGACCAACCCAUAUUCUGCACAAUGGAAAGAUCUUUAAAAUUAAGCCAGUUGGGAAAUGUUGUCAAGUUUUAUCUGAUUGUUAUUGAAGAUCUCCCAAUGAUGUCUGUUAACAAUGUGAAGACAAACACCGUGGUCUCAGCAUUGCUCAGCAUUGGAGAUGUCAGUCAAGUAAACACUGUCAUCGUACGGGAAGAGACUACUGCGAGAAAUACAGGCUCUAGCACCGACCCUGUGAAGGAGAGGAGUGAGGUGAAAUCAGGAACUAAAACGUCAGUCAUUGAAGGUGCUGCAGAGGCUUACAGUAAACCGACAGAGACUUCUUCUCUUCCCUCUGUGGGAGACUCACGUGGACUGAAUACAAAGCCCUCAUUUAGAGACACUGAAUCCAAGGGUGAACCUAUGAGAGCUGUUGUUCCAGAGGAGACAGACAGCGGGAGAGGCAGUCAUGAAAAGGAAACAAGCAGCCGUACUGGGACAGGAUCUACAGAAUACAGCAGAGCAUUUCCACAGAAUACAGCCAUGGAAUACAGCGGAGCAUUUCCACAGAAUACAGCUACGGAAUACAGCGGAGCAUUUCCACAGAAUACAGCCACGGAAUACAGCAGAGCAUUUCCAAGCUGAGGAAACCCUUCAAGUGUGACAUAUGUGAGAAGACCUUCCACGCAAACUGUCUGUUGAAACGCCAUAUAGCAGUUCACAAUAAACCGAAGGGGCCCUUUAAGUGUGACAUUUGUGCGAAAACCUUCCGCCUGAACUGUAUCCUGACUCAUGAUAUGCAAACUCACUCAAAAGAGAAACCUUUCAGUUGCAAAGUUUGCGGAAAGAAAUUCAGUAGUAAGACAAAUCUGAAAUCACAUGAGUUUGUUCAUGCAGAGGUGAAACCGUUCACCUGCCUCACUUGUGGAUGAGGUUUCGCCUCAAAGUACAUGCUUGACGUACACCAGCGAGUUCACACAGGUGAAAACCAUACAGCUGUACUACGUGUGGAAAGAGUAUAUCUCAAAACCUGAAAACGCAUAUUAGAUCUGUACAUACAGAACGUACAGAACGCCCACACCCAUGCUCCCAGUGUGACAAGACCUUUUGGCGUCCUGUCGAAUUGCAGGAGCACCAGGUAGUUCACACAGGGGAGAAGCCAUUUAGAUGUGAAAUAUGUGAAGCUACUUUCAGCUUUAAGGAGAACCUUACGAGACACCAUCGAAUUCACACGAAGAAGAGGCCGUACACAUGUUAGGCGUGUGGAAAGACAUACAUUCAGUCCACCAACUUAAAAGCUCACAUGCUAGUUCAUGGGGCAUUAAAACCAUUUAUGUGUGACGUUUGUGGAAAGACUUACCUUUACAAUUAUCAACUGAGAAUUCACAAGCUAUCACACGUGGCUGAUGGAGAGGGGCACUCAAGAACCAGAAAGAACAAGGCCAACCAACAAAAACAAACUGACCAACCAAAACCCUUCAGCUGUGAGAUAUGUUUGAAGGGCUUCAGCUCCAUCGGUUCUCUGAAAACACAUGGAAGAAUUCACACAGGAGAAAACAUAUACACUUGUUCCACAUGCGGAAAGACUUUUCUCCAUAAAGUUACUUUUGACUAUCACCCGAAAUUACACACUGGAGAGAAGCCCAAUACUUGUGGUUGUUGUGGAAAGAGAUGUAUUACUAAACAAUCUCUUAAGAUACAUGAGCUGAUCCAUACAGGUGAGAAACCACAUAAGUGCAGUGAUUGUGGGAAGACUUUUGGAUUUAUCGGUAAUCUCAAAAGACAUGAGCGAGUCCACACGGGAGAGAAGCCUUUCAGCUGUGAUGUCUGUGGGACACGAAUCAGACAAGCCAAUCAUGUCAAAACCCACAUGCAAGUGCACACAGGAAUCAGGCCAUACUCCUGCAAGAGAUGUGGAAGAGGCUUUUCUGAUUCAAGACACUUCAAAAAGCACAACUGCGUCAGUAGCUAACGCAAAUCUUCUGAUCGCACUUUCAGAAGUAAGAAAUGAGGAUUACAUGCCAUGAUGUUGCAAUCUCAAUAACUUGGAUAUCUAAUAACUUGAGUCAGGUGUGUAUGAGUCUGAAUGCUGAAAGACACCGGGGUUUUUUUUGUGUGUGGAUUUCCAAAAUUAUUCCAUAAUCUUGGCAUGUAAAUUAUUUCUAUACUGUGAUGAUCACAUCCCUAAUAUUCAUUGUCCAGUUAGACUUUUAUUCUAAUAGACAAGUCCAUAUAUUAACUACACUUUUCUUUGAAAUAGCCUUAACUAUUAGGUUGUCUGGCCUUAUGGGUGCAGGGAAGGAUUAACAAAUACCAUUU